UAUGAUAGAGGCGCGGUUGCCAAGAGUAGCUUCCACCGCCGGCGCAGGAACGCCGGAAGCGAAAGGGGUCGCCGCCGAAGGACUGCGGUUUUCCUGUGCCGCCGUACCUGGGACGUCGGAGAAUAUCCGCCGGACUGUCACUCGGAUGAGUGGAGAGCUGUCAG
This 164-nucleotide non-coding RNA is filed under the name human gut metagenome. Its description in RNAcentral is "Lysine riboswitch". It matches the Rfam family "Lysine riboswitch aptamer". Rfam says of the family: Riboswitches are metabolite binding domains within certain messenger RNAs that serve as precision sensors for their corresponding targets. Allosteric rearrangement of mRNA structure is mediated by ligand binding, and this results in modulation of gene expression. RNAcentral also lists the same sequence under 1 other name. The record is from RNAcentral.